CCUACGGGAGGCAGCAGUGAGGAAUAUUGGUCAAUGGACGAGAGUCUGAACCAGCCAAGUAGCGUGAAGGAUGACUGCCCUAUGGGUUGUAAACUUCUUUUAUAAAGGAAUAAAACGAGGCACGUGUGCCUUUUUGCAUGUACUUUAUGAAUAAGGAUCGGCUAACUCCGUGCCAGCAGCCGCGGUAAUACGGAGGAUCCGAGCGUUAUCCGGAUUGAUUGGGUUUAACGGGAGCGUAGAUGGGUUGUUAAGUCAGUUGUGAAAGUUUGCGGCUCAACCGUAAAAUUGCAAUUGAUACUGGCAGUCUUGAGUACAGUUGAGGUAGGCGGAAUUCGUGGUGUAGCGGUGAAAUGUUUAGAUAUCACGAAGAACCCCGAUUGCGAAGGCAGCUUACUAAACUGUGACUGACAUUGAUGCUCGAAAGUGUGGGUAUCAAACAGGAUUAGAUACCCCUGUAGUC
Molecule: ribosomal RNA, 460 nt
Filed under: uncultured bacterium
Lineage: Bacteria
Description: partial 16S ribosomal RNA
Rfam family: Bacterial small subunit ribosomal RNA
Source: RNAcentral